This 525-nucleotide ribosomal RNA is filed under the name uncultured bacterium. RNAcentral's name for it is "bacterial SSU rRNA". It matches the Rfam family "Bacterial small subunit ribosomal RNA", at positions 15 to 518 of the family's 1533-position model. The record is from RNAcentral.
GAUCCUGGCUCAGAACGAACGCUGGUAGCGUGGAUUAGGCAUGCAAGUCGGACGGGAUCCGGAAGGUAGCAAUAUCGGCCGGUGAGAGUGGCGGACUGGGGAGGAACACGUGAGCAACUUGCCCGCAGGACGGGGAAAACCGUUGGAAACGACGGCUAAUACCGGAUGCGGCGCCUUGGGGACAUCCCUGGGGCGCCAAAGGGGGCCGCAAGGCUCCCGCCCGCGGAGAGGCUCGCGCACCAUCAGCUAGUUGGCGGGGUAACGGCCCACCAAGGCCUACGGUUAGCUGGUCUGAGAGGAUGACCAGCCCCACUGGGACUGAGACACUGCCCAGACUCCUACGGGAGGCUGCAGUCGAGGAUCAUUUGCAACGGGCGAAAGCCUGACAAUGCGACGCUGCGUGGAGGAUGAAGGCCUUCGGGUUGUAAACUCCUGUCAUGGGGGAACAGGCGAGGGGACCCAACACGUCCCUUAGUUGAGUGUACCCCAAGAGGAAGGGACGGCUAACUCUGUGCCAGCCGCCGC